Molecule: ribosomal RNA, 1044 nt
Filed under: Kocuria rosea
Lineage: Bacteria; Bacillati; Actinomycetota; Actinomycetes; Micrococcales; Micrococcaceae
Description: bacterial SSU rRNA
Rfam family: Bacterial small subunit ribosomal RNA
Source: RNAcentral
CGACCCCUUGCGGCCGUCCUUUACAAUGCAAGUCGAACGAUGAUGCCCAGCUUGCUGGGCGGAUUAGUGGCGAACGGGUGAGUAAUACGUGAGUAACCUGCCCUUGACUCUGGGAUAAGCCUGGGAAACUGGGUCUAAUACUGGAUACUACCUCUUACCGCAUGGUGGGUGGUGGAAAGGGUUUUACUGGUUUUGGAUGGGCUCACGGCCUAUCAGCUUGUUGGUGGGGUAAUGGCUCACCAAGGCGACGACGGGUAGCCGGCCUGAGAGGGUGACCGGCCACACUGGGACUGAGACACGGCCCAGACUCCUACGGGAGGCAGCAGUGGGGAAUAUUGCACAAUGGGCGGAAGCCUGAUGCAGCGACGCCGCGUGAGGGAUGACGGCCUUCGGGUUGUAAACCUCUUUCAGUAGGGAAGAAGCGAGAGUGACGGUACCUGCAGAAGAAGCGCCGGCUAACUACGUGCCAGCAGCCGCGGUAAUACGUAGGGCGCAAGCGUUGUCCGGAAUUAUUGGGCGUAAAGAGCUCGUAGGCGGUUUGUCGCGUCUGCUGUGAAAGCCCGGGGCUCAACCCCGGGUCUGCAGUGGGUACGGGCAGACUAGAGUGCAGUAGGGGAGACUGGAAUUCCUGGUGUAGCGGUGAAAUGCGCAGAUAUCAGGAGGAACACCGAUGGCGAAGGCAGGUCUCUGGGCUGUUACUGACGCUGAGGAGCGAAAGCAUGGGGAGCGAACAGGAUUAGAUACCCUGGUAGUCCAUGCCGUAAACGUUGGGCACUAGGUGUGGGGGACAUUCCACGUUUUCCGCGCCGUAGCUAACGCAUUAAGUGCCCCGCCUGGGGAGUACGGGCGCAAGGCUAAAACUCAAAGGAAUUGACGGGGGCCCGCACAAGCGGCGGAGCAUGCGGAUUAAUUCGAUGCAACGCGAAGAACCUUACCAAGGCUUGACAUUCACCGGACCGCCCAGAGAUGGGGUUUCCCUUCGGGGCUGGUGGACAGGUGUGCAUGGUUGUCGUCAGCUCGUGUCGUGAGAUGUUGGGGUUAAGU